Oncorhynchus keta (chum salmon) is the source of this 1072-nucleotide long non-coding RNA. RefSeq lists it as uncharacterized. The record is from RefSeq and is a predicted model, not a curated record. Lineage: Eukaryota; Metazoa; Chordata; Actinopteri; Salmoniformes; Salmonidae. The transcript is spliced from 4 exons.
UAUAUACAGGGGGCACCGGUACAGAGUCAGUGUGGAGGUUAUAUACAGGGGGCACCGGUACAGAGUCAGUGUGGAGAUUAUAUACAGGGGGCACCGGUACAGAGUCAGUGUGGAGGUUAUAUACAGGGGGCACCGGUACAGAGUCAGUGUGGAGGUUAUAUACAGGGGGCACCGGUACAGAGUCAGUGUGGAGGUUAUAUACAGGGGCACCGGUACCGAGUCAGUGUGGAGGUUAUAUACAGGGGGCACCGGUACAGAGUCAGUGUGGAGGUUAUAUACAGGGGGCACCGGUACAGAGUCAGUGUGGAGGUUAUAUACAGGGGGCACCGGUACAGAGUCAGUGUGGAGGUUAUAUACAGGGGGCACCGGUACAGAGUCAGUGUGGAGGUUAUAUACAGGGGGCACCGGUACAGAGUCAGUGUGGAGGUUAUAUACAGGGGGCACCGGUACCGAGUCAGUGUGCGGGGGUACAGGCUAGUUGAGGUAAUCUGUCCAUGUAGGUGGGGGCGAAGUAACUAUGCAUAGGUAACAAACAAACAGCGAGUAGCAGCAGUGUACAAGAGGGGGGUCAAUGUAAAUUGUCCGGUGGCGAUUUUUAUGAAUUGUUCAGUAUUCUCAUGGCUUGGGGAUAGAAGCUGUUGAGAAUCAUUUUGGUCCUAGACUUGGCCCUCCGCAACCGCUUGCCGUGCGGUAGCAGAGAAAACGGUCUAUAACUUGGGUGACUGGAGUCUCUGAAAUUUUUAUGGGCUUUUCUCCGACACUUCCUGGAUGGCAGGAAGCUUGGCCCGUGAUGUACUGGGCAGUUUGCAUUACCCUCUGUAGCACCUUACGGUCAGAUGCUGAGCAGUUGCCAUAGCAGGCAGUGAUGCAACCGGUCAGGAUGCUCGCGAUGGUGCAGCUGUAGAACCCUUUGAGGAUCUGAGGGCCCAUGCCAAAUCUUUUCAGUCUCCUGAGGGGAAAAGUUUUUGUUGUGCUCUCUUCACACCUGUCUUGGUAUGUUUGGACCAUGAUAGUUCGUUGGUGAUGUGGACACCAAGGAACUUAACUCUCGACCCGCUCCACUACAGCCCCG